UCGGCUCCUGCUACAUCACCAGCACCACCACUACCACCACGCCAAUCAACUUUCCCUCGCUCUCUUUCUCUCUUACCUCCUCACGGACUUGAAUGCUCUCUCCUAAUCAGCACAAACUCUCUUUAUCUUUAUCUCAAAUAAAUAAACACAAACCAGGAAAAAAACUAGAUAAACCAAAAAAAGGACACCACUACUUUGUCCGUGUCCGUCAAUAAAUAGAGAAAAAAAACCUGAUAAAUCUUCUCACGAUCGAACAACGACCAACAAAUCCGACUUUCUUGCUCUGUCCUCCUGUCACGAGAAGGGUUUAUGUGUCGUCGUCCACGAACUGUACUUUUUUCCGUGUUAUUAUUGUCAAACCUUGUGAAUCUUGUUGAUCUCUUGUCUCCCUUGUCGUCGAAAUCGAAAUCUCUGAGGGAGAAAGUCAGACUCGAUUGAAGGAAAGUGGAAACCAUGGCGCGCCACCAUUUCUCUUCCGAACAUCGCACCACCGGACCCCCGAUCGACUACAGCACGGAUGCCAUCAUUUAUGUCACGGUGGUGGUUGUUUUCUACGCCGCGAUUAUAAUCCUCCUCUUGACGACGAACUUUCGCAGGAAGCGACCCAGCUCGUCGUCUCGAACAGAGAGCAACCCUUCCACAAACACGCGGAAACAUUGGCUUUUCUUCAAUCCGAUUAGCGGCGAGGCUCAGCAAGCAUCCAAAAAGGAGUCACAACAGUUUAUUCACACGCAGGACGCGGAAACCGUGUAAAGAAAAGGAAAAAAAGAACUGCCACAUUUUCAUAUCUAGAAAAGAAAACAACUCUUUAUUUCCUACGACUUUUACUGUGGGGCCAACAAAAGAAUAUUCACCCCGACCUUUUCGGAGAAAGCGUGGUGGCAAAUUUACACGGUUUUUUGGUUUGCUUUCUCCAUCAGCAUGUGACGUUAUUUGGAAGAUAUCAAAUUUUCCUUGGUUCAAGAUCAACUUAAGUGGACCCUUAAUCAACAAACAGGGAGGCAAUUUUUGGCAUAAUUGUUAACAGAUUUUGCGGGAAAUUUGAAUUUUAUUAUCUAUGAAAGCGGUUAUUUUGUUUUGCUUUCUCUACAAAAAAUAGUAUGGUUCAUGCAAUUGUUAGUUUUUUGAGGGAAUUAUCACCUUAGAUGGACCCUUUAUAAGCAGGGAAGCAAUUUUAUGUCCAUAAGUAUGGACAAAUUUUUUACGAAAUUUGAAUUUUCCUACCUCUGAAACUGAUUAGUAAAACUGUUUCAUUUUGCAUUAUCCGCCAAAACAUGGUGCUAUUCACACAAUUCAAAGUUCUUUUUGUCGUUGCAUCAUCCCUUAAUCAGCGGAAAUGCAAAUUUGGGCCCGAUUUAACUCGAACUUCGAAUUUACAUGAAUUUACGAAAGUGAUUAAUUGAAUGGUGGAAAA
Molecule: long non-coding RNA, 1414 nt
Organism: Folsomia candida
Lineage: Eukaryota; Metazoa; Arthropoda; Collembola; Entomobryomorpha; Isotomidae
Exons: 3
Source: RefSeq, a predicted model, not a curated record